AGCGAACGCUGGCGGCAGGCCUAACACAUGCAAGUCGAACGAAUUCUUCGGAGUUAGUGGCGGACGGGUGAGUAACACGUGGGAACGUGCCUUUAGGUUCGGAAUAACUCAGGGAAACUUGUGCUAAUACCGAAUGUGCCCUUCGGGGGAAAGAUUUAUCGCCUUUAGAGCGGCCCGCGUCUGAUUAGCUAGUUGGUGAGGUAAAGGCUCACCAAGGCGACGAUCAGUAGCUGGUCUGAGAGGAUGAUCAGCCACAUUGGGACUGAGACACGGCCCAAACUCCUACGGGAGGCAGCAGUGGGGAAUCUUGCGCAAUGGGCGAAAGCCUGACGCAGCCAUGCCGCGUGAAUGAUGAAGGUCUUAGGAUUGUAAAAUUCUUCCACCGGGGACGAUAAUGACGGUACCCGGAGAAGAAGCCCCGGCUAACUUCGUGCCAGCAGCCGCCGUAA
Molecule: ribosomal RNA, 449 nt
Filed under: uncultured bacterium
Lineage: Bacteria
Description: partial 16S ribosomal RNA
Rfam family: Bacterial small subunit ribosomal RNA
Source: RNAcentral